GUCCACGCCGUAAACGAUGGAUACUAGCUGUUGGAAGCAAUUUCAGUGGCUAAGCGAAAGUGAUAAGUAUCCCACCUGGGGAGUACGUUCGCAAGAAUGAAACUCAAAAGGAAUUGACGGGGCCCGCACAAGCGGUGGAGCAUGUGGUUUAAUUCGAUGAUACGCGAGGAACCUUACCAAGGCUUAAAUGUAGUUUGACCGAUUUGGAAACAGAUCUUUCGCAAGACAAAUUACAAGGUGCUGCAUGGUUGUCGU
RNAcentral lists this ribosomal RNA (255 nucleotides) under uncultured bacterium. RNAcentral's name for it is "partial 16S ribosomal RNA". It matches the Rfam family "Bacterial small subunit ribosomal RNA", at positions 793 to 1055 of the family's 1533-position model. The record is from RNAcentral.